Molecule: ribosomal RNA, 497 nt
Filed under: uncultured bacterium
Lineage: Bacteria
Description: partial 16S ribosomal RNA
Rfam family: Bacterial small subunit ribosomal RNA
Source: RNAcentral
GAUGAACGCUGGCGGCGUGCCUAAUACAUGCAAGUCGAGCGAACGGACGAGAAGCUUGCUUCUCUGAUGUUAGCGGCGGACGGAUGAGUAACACGUGGAUAACCUACCUAUAAGACUGGGAUAACUUCGGGAAACCGGAGCUAAUACCGGAUAAUAUAUUGAACCGCAUGGUUCAAUAGUGAAAGACGGUUUUGCUGUCACUUAUAGAUGGAUCCGCGCCGCAUUAGCUAGUUGGUAAGGUAACGGCUUACCAAGGCGACGAUGCGUAGCCGACCUGAGAGGGUGAUCGGCCACACUGGAACUGAGACACGGUCCAGACUCCUACGGGAGGCAGCAGUAGGGAAUCUUCCGCAAUGGGCGAAAGCUUGACGGAGCAACGCCGCGUGAGUGAUGAAGGUCUUCGGAUCGUAAAACUCUGUUAUUAGGGAAGAACAAAUGUGUAAGUAACUAUGCACGUCUUGACGGUACCUAAUCAGAAAGCCACGGCUAACUACGUG